This 691-nucleotide ribosomal RNA is filed under the name uncultured Pseudomonadota bacterium. RNAcentral's name for it is "bacterial SSU rRNA". It matches the Rfam family "Bacterial small subunit ribosomal RNA", at positions 85 to 801 of the family's 1533-position model. Lineage: Bacteria; Pseudomonadati; Pseudomonadota. The record is from RNAcentral.
CUUCGGGUGAGUGGCAGACGGGUGAGUAACGCGUGGGAACCUACCCAUUGGUACGGAAUAACCCGGGGAAACCCGAGCUAAUACCGUAUACGCCCGGUUCUUAGGGACUGGGGAAAGAUUCAUCGCCGAUGGAUGGGCCCGCGUCGGAUUAGCUUGUUGGUGUGGUAACGGCGCACCAAGGCGACGAUCCGUAGCUGGUCUGAGAGGAUGAUCAGCCACACUGGGACUGAGACACGGCCCAGACUCCUACGGGAGGCAGCAGUGGGGAAUAUUGGACAAUGGGCGCAAGCCUGAUCCAGCCAUGCCGCGUGAGUGAAGAAGGCCUUAGGGUUGUAAAUCUCUUUCGGCGGGGAAGAUAAUGACGGUACCCGCAGAAGAAGCCCCGGCUAACUCCGUGCCAGCAGCCGCGGUAAUACGGAGGGGGCUAGCGUUGUUCGGAAUUACUGGGCGUAAAGGGCACGUAGGCUGGCUGUUAAGUCGGGGGUGAAAUCCUGAGGCUCAACCUCAGAAUUGCCUCCGAUACUGGCGGUCUCGAGUGCGGGAGAGGUGAGUGGAAUUCCCAGUGUAGAGGUGAAAUUCGUAGAUAUUGGGAAGAACACCAGUGGCGAAGGCGGCUCACUGGCCCGCAACUGACGCUGAGGUGCGAAAGCGUGGGGAGCAGACAGGAUUAGAUACCCUGGUAGUCCACGCC